UAAGUCCCGCAACGAGCGCAACCCCUAUAGUUAGUUGCCAGCACGUAAUGGUGGGGACUCUAGCUAGACUGCCUGCGCAAGCAGUGAGGAAGGCGGGGACGACGUCAGGUCAUCAUGGCCCUUACGCCUAGGGCGACACACGUGCUACAAUGGACGGUACAGCGGGUAGCUACACAGCGAUGUGAUGCCAAUCUCGAAAAGCCGUUCUCAGUUCGGAUCGGAGUCUGCAACUCGACUCCGUGAAGCUGGAAUCACUAGUAAUCGCGCAUCAGCCAUGGCGCGGUGAAUACGUUCCCGGGCCUUG
Molecule: ribosomal RNA, 304 nt
Filed under: Craspedostauros australis
Lineage: Eukaryota; Bacillariophyta; Bacillariophyceae; Mastogloiales; Achnanthaceae
Description: partial Bacterial small subunit ribosomal RNA
Rfam family: Bacterial small subunit ribosomal RNA
Source: RNAcentral